GAUGAACGCUGGCGGCGUGCCUAACACAUGCAAGUCGAACGGAGAUUUAACGCUGAUGAGGCUUCGGCGGAUUCUUGUUAAAUCUUAGUGGCGGACGGGUGAGUAACGCGUGGGCAACCUGCCUCAUACUGGGGGAUAACAGUUGGAAACGGCUGUUAAUACCGCAUAAGCGCACAGCAUCGCAUGAUGCAGUGUGAAAAACUCCGGUGGUAUGAGAUGGGCCCGCGUCAGAUUAGCCAGUUGGCAGGGUAACGGCCUACCAAAGCAACGAUCUGUAGCCGGCCUGAGAGGGCGGACGGCCACAUUGGGACUGAGACACGGCCCAAACUCCUACGGGAGGCAGCAGUGGGGGAUAUUGCACAAUGGAGGAAACUCUGAUGCAGCGACGCCGCGUGAGUGAAGAAGUAUUUCGGUAUGUAAAGCUCUAUCAGCAGGGAAGAAAGGCUCGUAAGAGAGAUGAC
RNAcentral lists this ribosomal RNA (461 nucleotides) under bacterium MB2003. RNAcentral describes it as "bacterial SSU rRNA". It matches the Rfam family "Bacterial small subunit ribosomal RNA", at positions 28 to 473 of the family's 1533-position model. The record is from RNAcentral.